This 265-nucleotide long non-coding RNA is filed under the name Olea europaea (common olive). RNAcentral describes it as "long non-coding RNA (OEUR_LNC009558)". The record is from RNAcentral. Lineage: Eukaryota; Viridiplantae; Streptophyta; Magnoliopsida; Lamiales; Oleaceae.
CUGAUUCGAAGAACAAUAAAGAAAAGACAAUUGACUCAACAAAAGAAAUUAAAAAGUGAUAUAACCUUGGAUUGGAGCCAAACUCUAAUACCAGCUGAUGUGAACUUCCAUAGGCAAACACUAUGGAACCCAUGAACAAGAUAGAAGUCUUUCCAAAAAAACCAAAGUAAGGUUUUGGAUUUGAAUUCAAUAAAUUUGGAACUGAGCAACCCGAAUCGCCGACGAUGUGUGGACCUCUUGACUACACAAAAUUAUGGAAUCUCAC